This 683-nucleotide long non-coding RNA is filed under the name Zalophus californianus (California sea lion). Its description in RNAcentral is "lncRNA (ENSZCAG00015003918.1)". The record is from RNAcentral. Lineage: Eukaryota; Metazoa; Chordata; Mammalia; Carnivora; Otariidae.
GAUGACAAGUCUCUGAGCUUCUCCAGACUCGCGCUUUCACUGUCUUGGCAAGGAUAAGAGAGGGACCCCAGGGACAGUUGAGGCCCGUGGCAAAACCUCGAGGACCCAGGGCUUCCCAACCAUGCUGGGGCGGUCACCCCUCCAGACUGCUUCACUCCCAGGUCACCGGCUGGCCAACUUCUGGAAACAUCACUGGCCCCCCAGAAGCCAGCAGCGGCACCCCCACCCCCAGCCUGGCGGAAGGACUUUCCGGGCUAGAGAAUGGAGGUGCCUGGCUUGGUUUACGAAAGCACAGGUGUCCGGACCUUGAGUCGAAAUAUAAGAGAUUCCAUCCCCACCACACUCCUGGAGGCUCCAGGUACCUUGUUAGUGGGGCCCUGGGGAGUGGGGGUGCAGAAUUUGCAGGGAGCAGGGGGUGGUGAUCUUGGCUGGGUCACCAGAGAGAAUAAAAGCCAAGCGACUAUGCAGCACCCCCUAUUCUUCAUCAACCUUUAGCAUUUCUCUCUUCCCCCUGUCAGUCUCCCAGCUAUCAAGUGUGGACUCGACAGGAAUGUUGCAAGGAAAAACUAAUUAAACUGCAGUACAAUGCUUUGAAAAUAUUAAGUGUCAUGUAAAUGCCUAAUGCUAAUAAUAAUCUUGAUGGUGGUAAUUAUGUGCCAGGAAGCACAUCCCAGACAGCCCAG